CAGCAGUAGCCGCGGGAAUACGGAGGGGGCUAGCGUUGUUCGGAAUUACUGGGCGUAAAGCGCACGUAGGCGGCUUUGUAAGUUAGAGGUGAAAGCCCGGAGCUCAACUCCGGAAUUGCCUUUAAGACUGCAGAGCUAGCAGGUGAGAGAGGUGAGUGGAAUUCCGAGUGUAGAGGUGAAAUUCGUAGAUAUUCGGAAGAACACCAGUGGCGAAGGCGGCUCACUGGCUCAUACUGGACGCUGAGGUGCGAAAGCGUGGGGAGCAAACAGGAUUAGAUACCCCCGUAGUCCCUGUCUCUUAUAC
RNAcentral lists this ribosomal RNA (304 nucleotides) under uncultured bacterium. Its description in RNAcentral is "partial 16S ribosomal RNA". It matches the Rfam family "Bacterial small subunit ribosomal RNA", at positions 506 to 807 of the family's 1533-position model. The record is from RNAcentral.